This 261-nucleotide long non-coding RNA is filed under the name Elaeis guineensis (African oil palm). RNAcentral's name for it is "long non-coding RNA (EGUI_LNC076570)". The record is from RNAcentral. Lineage: Eukaryota; Viridiplantae; Streptophyta; Magnoliopsida; Arecales; Arecaceae.
CUUUUAACAAUACAUCUAUUAUGUGUCUCAACCUGAUAAAUUCUAUGACUCCUCACAAGGAUUGCCCUGGCCAAGAUCUUACUAAAUUGAAACACAAAGCAUUCUUUCCAAUCUCUUGAAGUGGUCAAUUCCAUCUUGACUCAUGCAUCGACUUCACAAGUACUUGACUGUGUCCAGAAACUUUCUGAUCCUGAAUUAGAAAUUUAGGUAGUCCGGUACCAAAGCAUAGUAAGUUGCUUGCAAGUCAUCGUGGUGACCUCA